AGCCUUGCACGGGUUUUUUAAAGGUCAUUCUGCGUUUCCGUGCUCAAGCCUUCGCACGUCUCCGAUAAAAUAAUUUUUGAAUUUUAAAAAAUUAAAAUAAUUAGUGCUCAAUAUGGGGAAGAAAAGGAAACAUGAAAAGACGGACGAAGAAAUUAGACGAAAGAUUAAAAAACUAGAAAAUCGGCUUGCCAAAAGAGCAAAUCAAUCUACAAGCGAUUCGUCGGAAGAAAAUAUGAUAAGCGAACCAUUGGAUGUGCCAUCCCCUGGGUCUUUAUACUGCCAGUCGCCACUGAGGGACCACCAAACUGAUGAGGCACCUCGACCGUUAUCACCAUGUCCGCCUUUGUCACCUCAAGAAAUCGCGCCACGUCCCGACUCGCCAC
Colias croceus (clouded yellow) is the source of this 383-nucleotide long non-coding RNA. RefSeq lists it as uncharacterized. The transcript is spliced from 3 exons. NCBI's taxonomy places the organism in Eukaryota, Metazoa, Arthropoda, Insecta, Lepidoptera, Pieridae. The record is from RefSeq and is a predicted model, not a curated record.